RNAcentral lists this microRNA precursor (62 nucleotides) under Nautilus pompilius. Its description in RNAcentral is "Npo-Mir-252-P2_pre stem-loop". The record is from RNAcentral. Lineage: Eukaryota; Metazoa; Mollusca; Cephalopoda; Nautilida; Nautilidae.
CUAAGUACUGGUGCCGCGGGAGUCUUUUUUGUAUACUUCUCCAGCGACCCUGGUGCUUAACA